Molecule: ribosomal RNA, 484 nt
Filed under: uncultured bacterium
Lineage: Bacteria
Description: partial 16S ribosomal RNA
Rfam family: Bacterial small subunit ribosomal RNA
Source: RNAcentral
GUUGAACGCUGGCGGCAGGCCUAACACAUGCAAGUCGAGCGGAUGAAGGGAGCUUGCUCCUGGAUUCAGUGGCGGACGGGUGAGUAAUGCCUAGGAGUCUGCCUGGUAGUGGGGGAUAACGUCCGGAAAGGGGCGCUAAUACAGCAUACGUCAUGAGGGAGAAAGUGGGGGAUCUUCGGAGAAAAAGCGAUCAGAUGAGACUAGGACGGAUUAGCUAGUUGGUGGGGUAAAGGCCUACCAAGGCGACGAUCCGUAACAGGUCUGAGAGGAUGAUCAGUCACACUGGAACUGAGACACGGUCCAGACUCCUACGGGAGGCAGCAGUGGGGAAUAUUGGACAAUGGGCGAAAGCCUGAUCCAGCCAUGCCGCGUGUGUGAAGAAGGUCUUCGGAUUGUAAAGCACUUUUAGUUGGGAGGAAGGUCAGUAAGUUAAUCCCUUGCUGUUUUGACGUUACCAACAGAAUAAGCACCGGCUAACUUCGUG